CGAUUGAAAGCUUGCUUUGAUGAGCCUAGUGGCAAACGGGUGAGUAACGGCGUAGGCAACCUGCCCUCAGGAUGGGGACAACGGCCCGAAAGGACCGCUAAUACCGAAUGACGUGUCGGAAUCGCAUGAUCCUGAUACCAAAGGCGGAGCAAUCCGUCACCUGAGGAUGGGCCUGCGUCUGAUUAGGUAGUUGGUGAGGUAACGGCCCACCAAGCCGACGAUCAGUAGCCGGUCUGAGAGGAUGAACGGCCACAUUGGGACUGAGACACGGCCCAGACUCCUACGGGAGGCAGCAGUGGGGAAUCUUCCGCAAUGGGCGAAAGCCUGACGGAGCAACGCCGCGUGAGUGAAGAAAGGUCUUCGGAUCGUAAAGCUCUGUUGUCGGGGACGAAGGGGCAGAUCAGGAAAUGGGUCUGCUUAGACGGUACCUGACGAGGAAGCCACGGCUAACUACGUGCCAGCAGCGGC
Molecule: ribosomal RNA, 468 nt
Filed under: uncultured bacterium
Lineage: Bacteria
Description: bacterial SSU rRNA
Rfam family: Bacterial small subunit ribosomal RNA
Source: RNAcentral